This 76-nucleotide transfer RNA is filed under the name Candidatus Uhrbacteria bacterium. RNAcentral describes it as "tRNA-Ile". It matches the Rfam family "tRNA". Rfam says of the family: Transfer RNA (tRNA) molecules are approximately 80 nucleotides in length. The record is from RNAcentral. Lineage: Bacteria; Candidatus Uhriibacteriota.
GGGCCCGUAGCUCAACGGUUAGAGCGCAGAGCUUAUACCUCUGUGGUUGCAGGUUCGAUUCCUGCCGGGCCUACCA